GGGCCUGUAGCUCAGUCGGUUAGAGCGCUUCCCUGAUAAGGAAGAGGCCGCUGGUUCAAGUCCAGCCAGGCCCA
RNAcentral lists this transfer RNA (74 nucleotides) under Actinomycetota bacterium. Its description in RNAcentral is "Actinobacteria bacterium tRNA-Ile". It matches the Rfam family "tRNA". Rfam says of the family: Transfer RNA (tRNA) molecules are approximately 80 nucleotides in length. Their secondary structure includes four short double-helical elements and three loops (D, anti-codon, and T loops). Further hydrogen bonds mediate the characteristic L-shaped molecular structure. tRNAs have two regions of fundamental functional importance: the anti-codon, which is responsible for specific mRNA codon recognition, and the 3' end, to which the tRNAs corresponding amino acid is attached (by aminoacyl-tRNA synthetases). tRNAs cope with the degeneracy of the genetic code in two manners: having more than one tRNA (with a specific anti-codon) for a particular amino acid; and 'wobble' base-pairing, i.e. permitting non-standard base-pairing at the 3rd anti-codon position. The record is from RNAcentral. Lineage: Bacteria; Bacillati; Actinomycetota.